UGGGCUGAAAUACAGACAGGAUGUCAGGAAGGAGUCAGCCUGUCAGAAUUGAGGCUCUCUCCUCCCCGCUCUUGCUUCUCUUUCCUAUGUCCUAUGGCUUGAAUCCAGCACCUUCUGCGAUGGGCUCUGAGUGUUGCCAAUGGGGAUGUUAGGUGGUCCCUGUGUCAGGCUUGUCCUGGCGCCUCAUCCUGCCGCCUUCUACAGACUAUGACUCCUGUUCAGCCAGCACACUUCUCAGGUGUCUCCUGGAGCUGUGUACUACAGUCACCGGAGCCUGCCAUCACAGCACCAGAUACAGGCAGCACUCAAUGUACAGCUGGGAUGCUGAGGUACAGCUGUGGGUAGCUGUGAAGGGCACAUGCCCUGGGGAGUCAGUGCAGAGGGGACGGAGCCUAACAUAGGCAAUGGAGGUUCACACAAGAGACUGCAGACCCAGGAGCAAGCUGCAUAAGGACCAGCAUCCAGGACGUCAGUGCAGCCUAUGCCAUCCUGGGCUUGGAAGCAGAGGCCCAGGACAAGAGUGGGCGCCUGGGUCAGGAUGGGAGCCACCUCCUGGUGGAUGCUAAGGGACUCUCAGCAGUUUCUGAUCCUCUGAAGGAAUUUACAGAUUGGGGCUGAAUGAAAGGAAGAAUUGGUUUUUGUUUGUUUUGUUUUAUUUUGUUUUUAAAUCUGGGAAUGAGCCCAGUAAAGUGAACAGAUCAGGUUUUGGACAUUCUGUAAGUCAUGUGAUUAAGUGGCUGGAAAACAGCAAUGCCUGCCUUAGCUGGGAGUAGCCAUCGCUCCUCCCCAAGGCACUUCAGAGCCCUUCUCUCCUCCCUCCCAGAUGUUCACUGAGAUGGUCCUGUGGUUUCUCUUGUGGGUGCAACCAGACACACAUAUGCCUCCAGACAGCCUUCUUCCUAAUUACAUCUUAGCUACAGUAUCACUAAGGACAGAUCUGCUGCUCACUCAGGGUAAAACCUAUUUCACACUGACCCACCCAUUGAGGAGGCACAGUAAAAGAGAAAAGACCCACAUAGAUCAACCGUACCUGUUUUAAAACUCAGACAGCAGAGAGCCCACCUGGGCCUGGCUCUCGCUACAGACAUCUUGAAGAGGCAGGUGCCAGGUGGUGCACUGGUCUGAGCAAUAGUCACUUCUUCCUGAUAACAACUCUGGGGCCAGGGCUGCCAGCCGGAUGUAUCCUGUUACCUCACUCUCUAUUCCUGGCACCCCAAGAGCUGAGCAGGCAGGUCCUUGCAGGCUACCAAAGUGGGAGGUGGCCACUCUGAUGGGCAGAGUGAUUGUGGUUCAGUAGCACCUCUUCUGUAUUCUGAAGCUAGCGUCUGGAAGUUUCCGUCAGUACACACCAAUGGCUGGCUAAGGUGUGUGAUAUUGUGAUCCAAGAAGCUCCCAGAGAAGCGAAUGAGCAGUAAAUAAAGCACAGCUGGCCCAGAAAAACCUCAUUUCCCCACAGUGAGGGAACACAUGCAAAUACGACGUGCUCAGAGAAAUGAACUAACGUGAUUAAAAUGACAUUUAAUCUUCAUGAAUAUUUGCAAUAAAAUGAAACCUUUAAUCUGCAAA
Molecule: non-coding RNA, 1566 nt
Organism: Rattus norvegicus (Norway rat)
Lineage: Eukaryota; Metazoa; Chordata; Mammalia; Rodentia; Muridae
Source: RefSeq, a predicted model, not a curated record